RNAcentral lists this unclassified non-coding RNA (300 nucleotides) under uncultured Chrysozymaceae. RNAcentral describes it as "sequence contains ITS2". The stretch from base 1 to 52 matches the Rfam family "5.8S ribosomal RNA", at positions 103 to 154 of the family's 154-position model. Lineage: Eukaryota; Fungi; Basidiomycota; Microbotryomycetes. The record is from RNAcentral.
AACGCACCUUGCGCUCUCUGGUAUUCCGGAGAGCAUGUCUGUUUGAGUGUCAUGAACUCUUCAACCCACCGGUUCCUUGUUGGACCUAAUUGGUGUUUGGAUUUUGAGUGUUGCUAUUUAGUUAGCUCAUUCGUAAUACAUUAGCAUCUCAAUUUCGUAAUCGGAUUGACUCAGCGUAAUAGACUAUUCGCUGAGGACACCAUUUUGGUGGCCGAGACAUGAAAGAGUGGAAGCUUCAAACCCCUCCUGGUCAUUUUUAGAUUAGACCUCAGAUCAGGCAGGAUUACCCGCUGAACUUAA